GGACAAGUGACUAAGUGCACAUGGUGGAUGCCUUGGCGAUUACAGGCGAUGAAGGACGUAGAAGCUUGCGAUAAGCUGCGGGGAGUUGGCAAACAAACAUUGAUCCGCAGAUUUCCGAAUGGGGAAACCCGGCCCUUGGGGUCAUCCGUAUCUGAAUACAUAGGAUACGCGAAGCGAACGUGGCGAACUGAAACAUCUAAGUAGCUACAGGAAAAGAAAUCAACCGAGAUUCCCAGAGUAGUGGCGAGCGAAAUGGGAUCAGCCUGCAAGUGAUAUAUCAAUGAGAUAGUGGAACAUUCUGGAAAGUAUGAUCAUAGAGGGUGAAAGUCCCGUACACGAAAUCCAAUGAUAAGUACUAGGCUUGCGACAAGUAGGGCGGGACACGUGAAAUCCUGUCUGAACAUGGGGGGACCAUCCUCCAAGGCUAAAUACUCGUAAUCGACCGAUAGUGAACAAGUACCGUGAGGGAAAGGUGAAAAGAACCCCGGGAGGGGAGUGAAAUAGAUUCUGAAACCGUGUGCAUACAAACAGUAGGAGCCCCUGCUCUAAUGGCUUUCGAUGCGAAGCAUCAAAAGCCCCAUGCUGAUGAAAAAGAAUCCUGACAAGCUGGAGAGUUUGUUGGGGGAUCUUCGAUGCGAAGCAUCAAAAGACAAUCAGGAUGAAAUAGAGCAUUUGGACAUUUGCGAAGCAAAUGACUAAUAGCGAGCGCAGAGAGCUAUUAGAGCAGGGGUGACUGCGUACCUUUUGUAUAAUGGGUCAGCGACUUACAUUCAGUGGCAAGGUUAACCGAAUAGGGGAGCCGAAGAGAAAUCGAGUCCGAAUAGGGCGUCCAGUCGCUGGGUGUAGACCCGAAACCAGGUGAUCUACCCAUGGCCAGGAUGAAGAUGCGGUAACACGCAUUGGAGGUCCGAACCCACUAACGUUGCAAAGUUAGGGGAUGAGCUGUGGGUAGGGGUGAAAGGCUAAACAAACCUGGAGAUAGCUGGUUCUCUCCGAAAACUAUUUAGGUAGUGCCUCAAGUAUCACCACCGGGGGUAGAGCACUGUUAUGGCUAGGGGGUCAUCGCGAUUUACCAAACCAUUGCAAACUCCGAAUACCGGUGAGUGCGAGCUUGGGAGACAGACGUCGGGUGCUAACGUCCGGCGUCGAGAGGGAAACAACCCAGACCGCCAGCUAAGGUCCCUAAGAUUGGCUAAGUGGCAAACGAAGUGGGAAGGCAGAAACAGUCAGGAGGUUGGCUUAGAAGCAGCCAUCCUUUAAAGAAAGCGUAAUAGCUCACUGAUCGAGUCGUCCUGCGCGGAAGAUGUAACGGGGCUAAGCCAGUCACCGAAGCUGCGGAUAUCCUUUUGGAUAUGGUAGGAGAGCGUUCUGUAGGCCGUAGAAGGUGUGUUGAAAAGCAUGCUGGAGGUAUCAGAAGUGCGAAUGCUGACAUGAGUAGCGAUAAUGGGGGUGAAAAGCCCCCACGCCGAAAGCCCAAGGUUUCCUGUCCAACGUUCAUCGGGGCAGGGUGAGUCGGCCCCUAAGGCGAGGCAGAGAUGCGUAGCUGAUGGGAAGCAGGUUAAUAUUCCUGCACCGUCGUUAGAUGCGAUGGGGGGACGGAUCGCGGAAGGUUGUCCGGGUGUUGGAAAUCCCGGUUCUUGACUUAGAGGAGGCUGUCAGGCAAAUCCGGCAGCGUAAUCCAAGGGGUUGAGACGAGUGGCCAUGUGCCGCGAAGCAAUUGGAAGUGGUUCCAAGAAAAGCCUCUAAGCUUCAGUCUAACGAGACCGUACCGUAAACCGACACAGGUGGGCGAGAUGAGUAUUCUAAGGCGCUUGAGAGAACUCGGGAGAAGGAACUCGGCAAAUUGGUACCGUAACUUCGGGAUAAGGUACGCCCUUGUAUCUUGACUGGCCUGCGCCAGGAGGGAGAAGGGGUUGCAAUAAAAAGGUGGCUGCGACUGUUUAUUAAAAACAUAGCACUCUGCAAACACGAAAGUGGACGUAUAGGGUGUGACGCCUGCCCGGUGCUGGAAGAUUAAAUGAUGGGGUGAGAGCUCUUGAUUGAAGUCCCAGUAAACGGCGGCCGUAACUAUAACGGUCCUAAGGUAGCGAAAUUCCUUGUCGGGUAAGUUCCGACCUGCACGAAUGGCGUAACGAUGGCCACACUGUCUCCUCCCGAGACUCAGCGAAGUUGAAAUGGUUGUGAUGAUGCAAUCUACCCGCGGCUAGACGGAAAGACCCCAUGAACCUUUACUGUAGCUUUGCAUUGGACUUUGAACCAAUCUGUGUAGGAUAGGUGGGAGGCUUUGAAGCGUGAACGCUAGUUUGCGUGGAGCCAACCUUGAAAUACCACCCUGGUUUGUUUGAGGUUCUAACCUUGGCCCGUUAUCCGGGUUGGGGACAGUGCAUGGUAGGCAGUUUGACUGGGGCGGUCUCCUCCUAAAGUGUAACGGAGGAGUUCGAAGGUACGCUAGGUACGGUCGGAAAUCGUGCUGAUAGUGCAAUGGCAUAAGCGUGCUUAACUGCGAGACUGACAAGUCGAGCAGGUACGAAAGUAGGACAUAGUGAUCCGGUGGUUCUGUAUGGAAGGGCCAUCGCUCAACGGAUAAAAGGUACUCUGGGGAUAACAGGCUGAUUCCUCCCAAGAGUUCAUAUCGACGGGGGAGUUUGGCACCUCGAUGUCGGCUCAUCACAUCCUGGGGCUGUAGUCGGUCCCAAGGGUAUGGCUGUUCGCCAUUUAAAGUGGUACGUGAGCUGGGUUUAAAACGUCGUGAGACAGUUUGGUCCCUAUCUGCCGUGGGCGUUGGAAGUUUGAGGAGGGCUGCUCCUAGUACGAGAGGACCGGAGUGGACGAACCUCUGGUGUACCGGUUGUCACGCCAGUGGCAUCGCCGGGUAGCUAAGUUCGGAAAAGAUAACCGCUGAAAGCAUCUAAGCGGGAAACUUGCUUCAAGAUGAGACUUCCCGGAGGCUUGACCUCCCUAAAGAGUCGUUCGAGACCAGGACGUUGAUAGGCUGGGUGUGGAAGCGCAGUAAUGCGUUAAGCUAACCAGUACUAAUUGCUCGUGAGGCUUGUCCCU
Molecule: ribosomal RNA, 3057 nt
Filed under: Oxalobacter vibrioformis
Lineage: Bacteria; Pseudomonadati; Pseudomonadota; Betaproteobacteria; Burkholderiales; Oxalobacteraceae
Description: Bacterial large subunit ribosomal RNA
Rfam family: Bacterial large subunit ribosomal RNA
Source: Rfam by way of RNAcentral